This 251-nucleotide long non-coding RNA is filed under the name Malus domestica (apple). Its description in RNAcentral is "long non-coding RNA (MDOM_LNC012944)". Lineage: Eukaryota; Viridiplantae; Streptophyta; Magnoliopsida; Rosales; Rosaceae. The record is from RNAcentral.
UUAGAGGUUCUCAACUUUGGGAACUUGGAGAAUCCUUUCAACCAUCCUCAUCCAAGAAAUCCAUGCAGCUAAGAAGCAAGGAAUGAAGGCCCUCUCCUUGGGUGAUUAGCCUUUGCUUAUGCAAAGAGGAAUCAACUAAGGUAUAAGAUUUAUCAACUCACUUUGUUCUUGAGUUAAGUCUUGGUUCACCCUUCUACUAGGCUUUGAAUUUCAUGGGUAAUGUUUUGUUUUUGAGUGCAUACAAGCAUGAU